AGUGAACGCUGGCGGUAGGCCUAACACAUGCAAGUCGAACGGCAGCACAGUAAGAGCUUGCUCUUACGGGUGGCGAGUGGCGGACGGGUGAGGAAUACAUCGGAAUCUACUUUUUCGUGGGGGAUAACGUAGGGAAACUUACGCUAAUACCGCAUACGACCUACGGGUGAAAGCAGGGGAUCUUCGGACCUUGCGCGAUUGAAUGAGCCGAUGUCGGAUUAGCUAGUUGGCGGGGUAAAGGCCCACCAAGGCGACGAUCCGUAGCUGGUCUGAGAGGAUGAUCAGCCACACUGGAACUGAGACACGGUCCAGACUCCUACGGGAGGCAGCAGUGGGGAAUAUUGGACAAUGGGCGCAAGCCUGAUCCAGCCAUACCGCGUGGGUGAAGAAGGCCUUCGGGUUGUAAAGAACUUUUGUUGGGAAAGAAAAGCAGCAGGUUAAUACCCCGCUGUUCUGACGGUACCCAAAGAAUAAGCACCGGCUAACUUCGUG
Molecule: ribosomal RNA, 492 nt
Filed under: uncultured bacterium
Lineage: Bacteria
Description: partial 16S ribosomal RNA
Rfam family: Bacterial small subunit ribosomal RNA
Source: RNAcentral